GACGAACGCUGGCGGCGUGCUUAACACAUGCAAGUCGAACGGUGAACCUCUUCGGAGGGGAUCAGUGGCGAACGGGUGAGUAACACGUGGGCAACCUGCCCCCGGCUCUGGGAUAACUCCAAGAAAUUGGGGCUAAUACCGGAUGUUCACCGCUUCCCGCAUGGGUGGUGGUGGAAAGGGUUUCCGGCUGGGGAUGGGCCCGCGGCCUAUCAGCUUGUUGGUGGGGUAGUGGCCUACCAAGGCGACGACGGGUAGCCGGCCUGAGAGGGUGACCGGCCACACUGGGACUGAGACACGGCCCAGACUCCUACGGGAGGCAGCAGUGGGGAGUAUUGCGCAAUGGGCGGAAGCCUGACGCAGCGACGCCGCGUGGGGGAUGACGGCCUUCGGGUUGUAAACCUCUUUCAGCAGGGACGAAGCGCAAGUGACGGUACCUGCAGAAGAAGCACCGGCCAACUACGUG
Molecule: ribosomal RNA, 463 nt
Filed under: uncultured bacterium
Lineage: Bacteria
Description: partial 16S ribosomal RNA
Rfam family: Bacterial small subunit ribosomal RNA
Source: RNAcentral